Molecule: non-coding RNA, 259 nt
Organism: Pantherophis guttatus
Lineage: Eukaryota; Metazoa; Chordata; Lepidosauria; Squamata; Colubridae
Source: RefSeq, a predicted model, not a curated record
CGAGAUGGCGCCUGGAAAACAGCAGAAGGAUUUGAAGAAAAUUUUGUCUUUGCUUCUGGAAUCUAGAGAGGAAAAAGAAAAGGCCUGGAUCGUUUUCCUGCAGACCAUGGGUGACAUUCAUGUCUAAAAUUAAUUUGCAAAAUGAACGUUAAGUUGAUGCUGCUGCUUUGAAAAAAGAAAAGGCAAACUAAAUCUGCUUUCCCAUUAUAUACAGAAAGUUACAAAAGUACUUCACUAAAUUAUUCCAUUUAACAUUGAA